This 383-nucleotide long non-coding RNA is filed under the name Mus musculus (house mouse). Its description in RNAcentral is "predicted gene, 31854". The record is from RNAcentral. Lineage: Eukaryota; Metazoa; Chordata; Mammalia; Rodentia; Muridae.
ACGCUAUGCCCCUGCUGUAUGUGCAGAGACCCGAAAUGCUGACAAGAAAUACUCCAAGGCCCUGCCUGCUGGUGCGUUUUGAGGGUGGCGCCACAUCAGCAGGCAAUGCCACCAGACUCUUUUCUGAGCCCUCAGCACAGAUCUGUCUUUGGUACUGGAUGCUGCCACCCAGCAGCGGGCCCUUUCCUACAAGAACUUCUUGAACUGACAUAUACUGAAAAGCUGACAGCGACCCUGAAUUAUGGACGCACACUUUCUGUGUAUGGAGGCAGAGAGGAGCGAGCAUGUUACCUUCCCCCAGGGAUUGGUCCUGAACAACAAUCCAAGGGGAACCAAACCGAUACUCAAGCUAUAACCCUCAAUUAAAAAAAAAUUCAAAAAGA